AGUUGCUUUAUGACGCCGGGCGCGUGCGCAUUUAAAACAAUUCUCGAAAGAAAUGUUCACAAAUUAGUUUAAAUUCGAAAACGUUUCGGUAUGGACGCAAGAAAAAGGAAUUCUAAGAAAUAGAAAUUCUAAGCGAAACAACAACGAAAAAGGAAAAUAAUUUAAAUAGGGAUAAUAAUAUACAAAAACAUAACAACAAAAACACAACGGUAUUAAGGAAUCUGUUUCAGAAUUUCAGUGAGUUAAAUCUGUUAAAAAGUUCUGCGGUUAAUUUGUUUGUUUCUUUAACAAAAAACGUAAUCUAAUAUUUUAAUUAUUAUCAUCAGCUCAGCAGCAGUGUAGAAUAUAUUGGCCUAAAAUACUAGAUAUUUUAUGUUAAUAUAUUAAAUUCGAGUGACUUACGUCACCCAAGAUUUUGUACAUUUUCAAGCGAGCAUUGGACUGGGUGUUAAUUAUUUCUAUGCCGGUUUGCUGCAAGUAUUUGUUGUCAUUGAUCAAUUAGCUUCCUAGCUUUCAAGCGAACGGUCGUGUUUUUUUUUUGCGCUCCGAUUCCUAUUUUGUGUUUGUCAAACCAGCCAAGAUUUCAGAUUACCAUUUGGCUAUGAGGAUCAGACAGUUUUAGUUAACUACUCCUAAAAAAAUAUCAGAGGACAAUUAUCUGAGGAAUGAAUCGCUUUGAAGUAGUACACUUUGAAACUACAUUUAUUCAUUUUGUGUAGCUUGUCUGUGGGCUAAAAUAUAUUUCGGCUAAAAAGUAGGCAAUACUACUUUUAUCAGUUGACCCAAGACUUUGGUAUUUCACCAUUUGUUUUUUUUUCUUUUUUUAAAUAAUUUAUUAAACGAAAUUAUUUAACGGACUAGCGUACUAUUGCCCUUUUUAGACAACCUAAUCUAAUCGGUAUCAAUUUAAACGAUUCUUAAUAUCUAAGUUUUUU
This 935-nucleotide long non-coding RNA is filed under the name Drosophila melanogaster (fruit fly). RNAcentral's name for it is "flamenco (Dmel_CR46037)". Lineage: Eukaryota; Metazoa; Arthropoda; Insecta; Diptera; Drosophilidae. The record is from RNAcentral.